ACGCUGGCGGCGUGCCUAAUACAUGCAAGUAGAACGCUGAAGGAGGAGCUUGCUCUCUCUGGAUGAGUUGCGAACGGGUGAGUAACGCGUAGGUAACCUGCCUGGUAGCGGGGGAUAACUAUUGGAAACGAUAGCUAAUACCGCAUAACAGUAGAUGUUGCAUGACAUUUGCUUAAAAGGUGCAAUUGCAUCACUACCAGAUGGACCUGCGUUGUAUUAGCUAGUUGGUGGGGUAACGGCUCACCAAGGCGACGAUACAUAGCCGACCUGAGAGGGUGAUCGGCCACACUGGGACUGAGACACGGCCCAGACUCCUACGGGAGGCAGCAGUAGGGAAUCUUCGGCAAUGGACGGAAGUCUGACCGAGCAACGCCGCGUGAGUGAAGAAGGUUUUCGGAUCGUAAAGCUCUGUUGUAAGAGAUGAACGAGUGUGAGAGUGGAAAGUUCACACUGUGACGGUAUCUUACCAGAAAGGGACGGCUAACUACGUGCCAGCAGCCGCGGUAAUACGUAGGUCUCGAGCGUUGUCCGGAUUUAUUGGGCGUAAAGCGAGCGCAGGCGGUUAGAUAAGUCUGAAGUUAAAGGCUGUGGCUUAACCAUAGUACGCUUUGGAAACUGUUUAACUUGAGUGCAAGAGGGGAGAGUGGAAUUCCAUGUGUAGCGGUGAAAUGCGUAGAUAUAUGGAGGAACACCGGUGGCGAAAGCGGCUCUCUGGCUUGUAACUGACGCUGAGGCUCGAAAGCGUGGGGAGCAAACAGGAUUAGAUACCCUGGUAGUCCACGCCGUAAACGAUGAGUGCUAGGUGUUAGACCCUUUCCGGGGUUUAGUGCCGUAGCUAACGCAUUAAGCACUCCGCCUGGGGAGUACGACCGCAAGGUUGAAACUCAAAGGAAUUGACGGGGGCCCGCACAAGCGG
Molecule: ribosomal RNA, 916 nt
Filed under: uncultured bacterium
Lineage: Bacteria
Description: bacterial SSU rRNA
Rfam family: Bacterial small subunit ribosomal RNA
Source: RNAcentral